RNAcentral lists this ribosomal RNA (433 nucleotides) under uncultured bacterium. Its description in RNAcentral is "partial 16S ribosomal RNA". It matches the Rfam family "Bacterial small subunit ribosomal RNA", at positions 29 to 507 of the family's 1533-position model. The record is from RNAcentral.
AGCGAACGCUGGCGGCAGGCCUAACACAUGCAAGUCGAACGAACUCUUCGGAGUUAGUGGCGGACGGGUGAGUAACACGUGGGAACGUGCCUUUAGGUUCGGAAUAACUCAGGGAAACUUGUGCUAAUACCGAAUGUGCCCUUCGGGGGAAAGAUUUAUCGCCUUUAGAGCGGCCCGCGUCUGAUUAGCUAGUUGGUGAGGUAAAGGCUCACCAAGGCGACGAUCAGUAGCUGGUCUGAGAGGAUGAUCAGCCACAUUGGGACUGAGACACGGCCCAAACUCCUACGGGCGGCAGCAGUGGGGAAUCUUGCGCAAUGGGCGAAAGCCUGACGCAGCCAUGCCGCGUGAAUGAUGAAGGUCUUAGGAUUGUAAAAUUCUUUCACCGGGGACGAUAAUGACGGUACCCGGAGAAGAAGCCCCGGCUAACUUCGUG